This 298-nucleotide ribosomal RNA is filed under the name Spirochaetaceae bacterium. RNAcentral describes it as "partial 16S ribosomal RNA". It matches the Rfam family "Bacterial small subunit ribosomal RNA", at positions 1 to 289 of the family's 1533-position model. The record is from RNAcentral. Lineage: Bacteria; Pseudomonadati; Spirochaetota; Spirochaetia; Spirochaetales; Spirochaetaceae.
AUGAUGGAGAGUUUGAUCCUGGCUCAGAACGAACGCUGGCGGCGCGUCUUAAGCAUGCAAGUCGAACGGCAAGAUGGGAGCUUGCUCCUAUCCUAGAGUGGCGAACUGGUGAGUAACACGUGGGUGAUGCACCCACCGGCUGGGGAUAGCCGGUAGAAAUACCGGGUAAUACCGAAUAAGAACAUCUGGAGUAGAAGCCAGGUGAGGAAAGGAGCCUCGUGCUCCACCGGUGGAGCGGCCCGCGGCCCAUUAGCUAGUUGGAGGGGUAAUGGCCCACCAAGGCAAUGAUGGGUAUCCG